UCUCGAAUAGCUCAGUCGGUAGAGCAAGUGACUGUUAAUCACUGGGUCGGCGGUUCGAGCCCGUCUUCGAGAGCCA
Molecule: transfer RNA, 76 nt
Filed under: Cardiobacteriaceae bacterium
Lineage: Bacteria; Pseudomonadati; Pseudomonadota; Gammaproteobacteria; Cardiobacteriales; Cardiobacteriaceae
Description: tRNA-Asn
Rfam family: tRNA
About the family: Transfer RNA (tRNA) molecules are approximately 80 nucleotides in length.
Source: RNAcentral